AUGUUUAAAGCGGCGACUUCAGUCUGCUUAGGGGAUGGACUGAGGGCAAGAUUCUGGACCGACAAAUGGCUGCCUGGAGGGGUCUCCAUUGAAGACAUAGCUCCAGCCUUAUUCUCGUUUGUCAAGGAUUCUGGGCGAUCGGUUAAGGAGGCUCUUCACAAUGGUUUUUGGAUCAGGGAUAUAUCAGGAGGGAUUUCGGUGCAGGCCAUGGCUCAAUAUCUCAAAAUUUGGGACAUCACUCAGCAUGUCUCCUUAUCUGUGGGUGUUCCUGAUCGCUUAGUUUGGAAGUGGACCAAGGAUCACAAGUUCUCUGUUGGCAGCGCAUAUAACAUGUUCUUUGCUGCGAAUGUGCACUUUGCUUGCCACAAGCCAAUAUGGGAAUCAAAAGCUCCCCCAAAAUGCAAAUUCUUUAUGUGGCUUGCUGUUCAUCGCAGGUGCUUGACCGCAGAUAAUUUGGAGAGGAGGGGCUGGCCUUCUAAUGGCAACUGUCCGUUGUGCAUCUCGACGCACGAAGACUGCACACAUCUUUUUGUGCAUUGUCGGUUCACUCAGCAGGUUUGGAGGAGGUUCAGGGACUGGACGAGAGUGUUUUUUCUUGUUCCAGAUGACAGCUAUGCUAAUACUGAGGAUUGGUGGCUGAGAACACGGAAGGAUGUCCCCAAGUCUGAUAGGCGCAAUUUUGACACCAUUAUCAUUCUUAUCCACUGGAGGAUCUGGAAAGAAAGAAAUGCGAGAAUUUUUUAG
RNAcentral lists this ribosomal RNA (744 nucleotides) under Triticum aestivum (bread wheat). RNAcentral's name for it is "partial small subunit ribosomal RNA". Lineage: Eukaryota; Viridiplantae; Streptophyta; Magnoliopsida; Poales; Poaceae. The record is from RNAcentral.